Molecule: unclassified non-coding RNA, 262 nt
Filed under: Hevea brasiliensis (rubber tree)
Lineage: Eukaryota; Viridiplantae; Streptophyta; Magnoliopsida; Malpighiales; Euphorbiaceae
Source: RNAcentral
GCUUAGUUGAGUUGAGCUGAGUUGAGUUGAGUUAAAUUGAGUUGAAUAGGAUGGCAGAAAGGAAGAUUAUCAGAGUAUCUGCACAUGAACAUACCCAAUCUGCCAGUAUCAAGCAUCAUUAAAGCUCCUUACUCCUUCUACCACUACUAUCGCCAAGUCCGGUAAAUCCUCUAUGUGUCUUGUUUGCUCAUAAUCCAAGUGGUCAUUGAUUCAAGUGCUACAGAUCUUGUGACAGGUAAUUCAAGUCUCUUUUUUACUUUCA